RNAcentral lists this ribosomal RNA (264 nucleotides) under uncultured bacterium. RNAcentral describes it as "partial 16S ribosomal RNA". It matches the Rfam family "Bacterial small subunit ribosomal RNA", at positions 793 to 1055 of the family's 1533-position model. The record is from RNAcentral.
GUCCACGCCCUAAACGAUGUCGACUAGUUGUCGGGCCUUUACAGGCUCGGUAACGCAGCUAACGCGUGAAGUCGACCGCCUGGGGAGUACGGUAGCAAGAUUAAAACUCAAAGGAAUUGACGGGGACCCGCACAAGCGGUGGAUGAUGUGGAUUAAUUCGAUGCAACGCGAAAACCUUACCUAACCCUUGACAUGCCCGGAAGCUCGCAGAGAUGUGAGCGUGCCCGAAAGGGAGCCGGGACACAGGUGCUGCAUGGCUGUCGU